RNAcentral lists this ribosomal RNA (253 nucleotides) under uncultured bacterium. RNAcentral describes it as "partial 16S ribosomal RNA". It matches the Rfam family "Bacterial small subunit ribosomal RNA", at positions 524 to 776 of the family's 1533-position model. The record is from RNAcentral.
UACGGAGGGCGCAAGCGUUGUUCGGAAUCACUGGGCGUAAAGCGCGUGUAGGCGGCCGGGCAAGUCGGGUGUGAAAUCCCGAGGCUCAACCUCGGAACUGCACUCGAAACUGCUCGGCUCGAGUCCCGGAGAGGGUGGCGGAAUUCCCGGUGUAGGGGUGAAAUCCGUAGAUAUCGGGAGGAACACCAGUGGCGAAGGCGGCCACCUGGACGGUGACUGACGCUGAGACGCGAAAGCGUGGGGAGCAAACAGG